Long non-coding RNA from Bos taurus (domestic cattle), 1243 nucleotides. The record is from Ensembl. Lineage: Eukaryota; Metazoa; Chordata; Mammalia; Artiodactyla; Bovidae.
ACUCAGUAAACCUGCCAGCAGCUCCCCACCUGCCUCCCAGAGCUCAUUUCCUCCUUCUACGAGAAGCAGCCUGCAGCCUUCACAGGCUCUGCCUGAGUAGCCUUGCUUGAAUCCAUGUGGGAGGCGAGAAUCCCAAUAUCCUCCUUUUGCUGCUAAGUCACUUCAGUCGUGUCCAACUCUGUGUGACCCCAUAGAUGGCAGCCCACCAGGCUCCCCCGUCCCUGGGAUUCUCCAGGCAAGAACACUGGAGUGGGUUGCCAUUUCCUUCUCGAACGCAUGAAAGUGAAAAGUGAAAGGGAAGUCACUCAGUCAUGUCCGACUCUUCACGACCCCAUGGACUGCAGCCCACCAGGCUCCUCCGUCCAUGGGAUUCUCCAGGCAAGAGUACUGGAGUGGGGUGCCAUCGCCUUCUCUGAAUAUCCUCCUAGACAUCACCAGAGAUCACAGAACCUUCAACCCUUCUUUGAAGAACCAGGCUGGCUACUAGACACCGAAGGCACCAUUCCGUCACAAUGGCCAACCCAGCUCACAGCCUUUCCACUCAAAUGCCGUUCACUCAUUAAUUUAGCAAGCAUGGUGAGCGACAACUAUGUACUAGGCCUUGUGCUAAGCCCUGGCAAUACGAUAACAAACAAAACGUUCCAGUGGGAGAGACAGAAGACAACCGCAAAGAAAUCAGGAGCUAUUAACCAGUGAACAAUCCAAGGAUGAAAACAAAAUAGCAUCAGACAGACAGGAGUGAGAGGUCCAAGCAAGCAGACAGGCUUGGAGGAGGCUCAGUGUGGUGCCCAGGAGAGGUCUCUGAGGCCUCUGCAAGGCAGGCACUGGGGAGAGAAAACAAGGAGUCCUUCGUUGGGAGGAGUGCUGGCCUGGCCUCUGAUUCCCAGGAACCCAGAGUGUGCGGCUUCCAGCCAGUCCCGCCCCCACAAGGCGGAAGCUUCAGUCUUGCUGUCCCCACACGGAGCCAGGUGGACACUUCUGAGCACCUUCGCGAAGGCUCUGUGGCCCCCUCGCCUCCCACACGACCUCACCUCUGUAUGCUGAUGCGGCCAGCAGGCCCCACCCGCCCAGCCACCUUCAUUUGCUAGAGCUGGCGGCCGGGCGGGGCUAGGGUCUAUCUGGCCGUCGGAUUAAUAUCCAGAUAUUAAGUAAACAAUAAAUUAGCAAAACUACAAGAAAAUUUUACAGCCCUUUGCAUUUGGCAAUCAUUGAGUGUUAAUUAGAAAUUCAUUACAAUUAAAAC